AAUUCGAUGAUACACGAGGAACCUUACCUGGGGCUAGAAUGUGAGGGAAUUAGCAGAGAUGCAAAAGUCCGCAAGGACCCGAAACAAGGUGCUGCAUGGCUGUCGUCAGCUCGUGUCGUGAGAUGUUGGGUUAAGUCCCCGCAACGAGCGCAACCCUUAGUGUUAGUUGCCAUCAUUAAGCUGGGGACUCUAACAAGACUGCCGGCGUAAGCCGAGAGGAAGGAGGGGACGACGUCAAGUCAUCAUGGCCCUUACGCCCAGGGCUACACACGUGCUACAAUGGACGGUACAAAGAGCAGCCAACCUGCGAAGGUGCGCGAAUCUCAAAAAGCCGUUCUCAGUUCGGAUUGGAGUCUGCAACUCGACUCCAUGAAGUUGGAAUCGCUAGUAAUCGCAGAUCAGCUAUGUUGCGGUGAAUACGUUCCCGGGC
Molecule: ribosomal RNA, 430 nt
Filed under: uncultured bacterium
Lineage: Bacteria
Description: bacterial SSU rRNA
Rfam family: Bacterial small subunit ribosomal RNA
Source: RNAcentral